AUACGGAGGGUGCAAGCGUUAUCCGGAAUUAUUGGGUUUAAAGGGUCCGUAGGCGGCUAGAUAAGUCAGUGGUGAAAUUCUCUCGCUCAACGAGAGACCUGCCAUUGAUACUGUCUUGGCUAGAGUUACAGUGAGGUGAGUGGAAUGUGUAGUGUAGCGGUGAAAUGCAUAGAUAUUACACAGAACACCGAUUGCGAAGGCAGUUCACUAACUGUAUACUGACGCUGAUGGACGAAAGCGUGGGGAGCAAACAGGAUUAGAAACCCCAGUAGUCC
This 275-nucleotide ribosomal RNA is filed under the name uncultured bacterium. RNAcentral describes it as "partial 16S ribosomal RNA". It matches the Rfam family "Bacterial small subunit ribosomal RNA", at positions 523 to 796 of the family's 1533-position model. The record is from RNAcentral.